AGUUUGAUCCUGGCUCAGGAUGAACGCUAGCUACAGGCUUAACACAUGCAAGUCGAGGGGCAGCAUUGGGGUAGCAAUACUUCAGAUGGCGACCGGCGCACGGGUGAGUAACACGUAUCCAACCUGCCGCUUACUCGGGGAUAGCCUUUCGAAAGAAAGAUUAAUACCCGAUGGUAUAAAGAGUUCGCAUGUUCUCUUUAUUAAAGAAUUUCGGUAAGCGAUGGGGAUGCGUUCCAUUAGAUAGUUGGCGGGGUAACGGCCCACCAAGUCUACGAUGGAUAGGGGUUCUGAGAGGAAGGUCCCCCACAUUGGAACUGAGACACGGUCCAAACUCCUACGGGAGGCAGCAGUGAGGAAUAUUGGUCAAUGGACGAGAGUCUGAACCAGCCAAGUAGCGUGAAGGAUGACUGCCCUAUGGGUUGUAAACUUCUUUUAUAAGGGAAUAAAGUGAGGGACGUGUCCCUUUUUGUAUGUACCUUAUGAAUAAGGAUCGGCUAACUCCGUGCCAGCAGCCGCGGUAAUACGGAGGAUCCAAGCGUUAUCCGGAUUUAUUGGGUUUAAAGGGAGCGUAGGUUGACAUAUAAGUCAGCUGUGAAAGUUUACGGCUCAACCGUGAAAUUGCAGUUGAUACUGUAUGUCUUGAGUGUACAAGAGGUGGGCGGAAUUCGUGGUGUAGCGGUGAAAUGCUUAGAUAUCACGAAGAACUCCAAUUGCGAAGGCAGCUCACUGGGGUACAACUGACACUGAGGCUCGAAAGUGUGGGUAUCAAACAGGAUUAGAUACCCUGGUAGCCCACACAGUAAACGAUGAAUACUCGCUGUUUGCGAUAUACAGUAAGCGGCCAAGCGAAAGCAUUAAGUAUUCCACCUGGGGAGUACGCCGGCAACGGUGAAACUCAAAGGAAUUGACGGGGGCCCGCACAAGCGGAGGAACAUGUGGUUUAAUUCGAUGAUACGCGAGGAACCUUACCCGGGCUUGAAUUGCAGAGGAACAUAGUUGAAAGAUUAUGGCCGCAAGGUCUCUGUGAAGGUGCUGCAUGGUUGUCGUCAGCUCGUGCCGUGAGGUGUCGGCUUAAGUGCCAUAACGAGCGCAACCCUUAUCAUUAGUUACUAACAGGUCAUGCUGAGGACUCUAGUGAGACUGCCGUCGUAAGAUGUGAGGAAGGUGG
Molecule: ribosomal RNA, 1168 nt
Filed under: uncultured Bacteroides sp.
Lineage: Bacteria; Pseudomonadati; Bacteroidota; Bacteroidia; Bacteroidales; Bacteroidaceae
Description: bacterial SSU rRNA
Rfam family: Bacterial small subunit ribosomal RNA
Source: RNAcentral